AAUGGUUGAAAGGUUGUUAAAGAGGGACGAAAGUAAAACAGUUUGGUAAGGAUUUGUUACUGGGGAGUAAAAAUGACAUUUCAUGUAAGAAAAAGGUAUAAAAUUAUAGAAAUAGUUGGGGUCGUAGAAAAGAUUUUGAGUUUUGGGUUAGUUUGUGAAAUUUUCUCACACAAUAUCAUUAUUAUCCAAUUAGGGCUUCAUUUGACUAAGAAAUAAGUUUCCUUUUUCUCCCGCCAACAGAAAACCUUCCCAGUUCAUUAGUCUUUCAAUCGUUCAAUUUCCUUUUUGUCUCUUAUCCCCAUUUCCUUGCUGUUUCCACUCUAUUCAAGAAGAAGAUCGAUACUGCAACGGAGUUCAUUGAUUUGUCCUCUACAGCCUUUGCCAGAUUCAAUGGAUGCCCCAGCUGAAGAAGACAUUCCUCUAAGGCCUCGGGUUAAGGUUUCAUUUUGCCUAGGAUCAGAGAUACAUUUGGUCAAUACAGCUAAUAAAGGCACCCUUUCUGAGCAGCUGAUUUCCAUGAAAGAGGAUAGCAUGGCGAUUUUGAAGGAGUACAUAACCAAGCAUAAUGUUCCUAAUGAUGUCCCGGACGAACUAGUUGAAGAAGCUUCUGAGGACGAUGAUGAAAUCACUGAAAAACCUCAAGUGAAGGCAAAGAAGACAAAAGUAACAUAAUUUCUCUUUCCCUGUUUAUGGGCCAAACCCUGAAAUUCUAAUGAACAAAAAUAGUGUCUUGGAAAAGAAUAUAGAACAUAACUUUAAGUUCA
Cucumis melo (muskmelon) is the source of this 764-nucleotide RNA transcript. RefSeq lists it as uncharacterized. Lineage: Eukaryota; Viridiplantae; Streptophyta; Magnoliopsida; Cucurbitales; Cucurbitaceae. The transcript is spliced from 2 exons. The record is from RefSeq and is a predicted model, not a curated record.